UAACUGCCCUUCCUCUCUCUCAAAACCAGGCACUCUCCCUCUUCCCCAAGCCACUCCUCUUUUUCUCUGUCAAUCUAUAAAUUGUCUCCAUGCCAAAACCACCGAAACCCCACCACUGCAAGCACCUUCUCUGAUUCUACUCAGUCUCAGUGAGGCAGUGCAAGCCAACCCAUUUUCAUGGUGUUCAAUUCAGUCUCUUCCCAACCCCAAACCAUAUCCGAGCCCGACCCGAAACCCGAUUCCAUGGCCUCCACUGUGCCUUCCAAGUCUUUUGUCCACCAAGCCCAAAACCAUGGCCUCCCUUUGCCCCAGUUGAAAUGGGCCAUGAGCAACAACACUACCACCACCAAAAGCAACGAAAACAACAAGACCACCACGAAAUGCAGCGGAAAUAACAACCCUUCUCUGCAACUGAGCAGCAACACCAAACUCCCACAGUUUGACCCGGUAGCUAAGCAGCCCGAGCCCAAGUCCUCCAAUGUCGAAAAAGAAGCCGACCCAAUUCCCGCCACGGAAGUGAUCGACGGCCCGGAGACCCAGAAGCCAAAAUCGACUGCUGAGGAUAAGAAAUCGAAGAUUUGCAUCCGGAUUCGGAGCAAAGAAAAGGCUGCUGUGGUGCCUGAGCCUGAACCUGAACCUGAACCGGAAAAUGAAAAAGAGAGCUCUGUUGCUGCUGCUUUAGCAGCGCUGGAGGAUGAAGAGACGAUUCAGAAGACUUGGAAUCUCAGGCCCAGGAGACCGGUGCCUAAGGCCAAUGGUCGUGCUGGUGCAUUGAAGACUGGUGCACCGCUGGUGCAGCAGACCGAGGCGGCCGGGGGCUCUUCUAAAGCUGGAGGCAAAGGUGCUCAAAAGAAGGACAAUAAACUGAAGAUAUCGGUUUCUUUAACAAAAGAAGAGAUUGAGGAGGACAUUUUUAUUAUGACUGGAGCCAGGCCAUCCAGGCGCCCAAAGAAGAGAGCUAAGAAUGUGCAGAAACAGCUUGAUCAUCUGUUUCCUGGGUUGUGGCUGAAUUCAGUAUCUACCAAUUCCUACCAGGUUCCUGAAACUCCAUUGAAGAGAAUUUGAACAUGCUGCUUUCAGGAUUAGAUGGGAUGAGGCUGCUUUUAGUUAAAUGUUUGGUGGCGAUUUUGAAGAAUUGUGAACUGCUCUAAACAUUUUGAACACAGAAGAUUGAGCAUACUGCAUUGUAAACGUGCUUGCACAAUCCUCAGGGUGCAUCUGGGCUUGCUUCCUAUGAAGAACUGACCUAGCUACCCAAUGUGGGUUUCUCCCUCCAAGGGCUGCAUCAGAGCCAGACACAUGUAACUUCAUGGGGGAGGCAACCCUGGCAUCCACAAUUUGGAGGUUAAUGGUAAUAAGGAAUACACAGACACACACAUAGUAAAUUGGUUUAAAAUGUAUCAUUACUUGAUUACAGCAUGCAUAACACUUUUUUGGUUGCAUAUUUUGUCAAAGGACCUGCCUGCAAACAUGUUUAUUUAGAUGUUUUCUUGGAAAUAAUGUUUGAUUGGUCACAUGCCUAUCAUGCCAUUAAACCGCCCACAGAAUCUUUGUUAUCAAACUUUUUCUUGGAAAUUUCUGAUCGCAUGGUUGUUUGUUCAAUUACAUCUUUUUGCUACAUAUUAUUCAAAAUUUUAUCCUGUACUGAAAGCUUUAUUUAGAUCCUCUUAAUUAAGGGCAAUCACAAAUUUUCUAUUUGUCAAUUUUGUCCUAGUUUCAAUCUGAAUAAUGUCAACCGUGCAAUUUGUGUAAAUAUCUAAUACUAUUAACCUAAUUGCUCAAAAAGAAAAAGUAAAACCUCCACAUGUCUGCAAUGUAAUCGUAGUUUGACAUAACAUUUAUGCUUAGGUCAUCCCUUCUAGAACCAGUGCCAUGACCAUGUGAGCAGCUUGUGGCUACUACCAUCAUCUAAAAGAAUUUUUGUCUUAUUCAACAUGGUAUUCUUUUAAGUUGCUACACUUGUAAUAUGCGAACAAGGUAGAUGACAAAAUUGCUACACUUGUUUUUGACUGAAUAUAUAUUCUUCGGUUCAUAAUGUUUUACAAAAUAGAUGAACAACUUCAGUACAAAUUGAAACGUUUAGAGUUUACAUUGCUUAAGUUGAAAACUAAAUAGGUCAGUUUGAUAUAAAUUGAAGAUUACAAGUUCAUAUUGCUCCAAAUUAAAAUUAGGCAUACCAACUUAAACCGUGCAGGCCGGAAACAGUACCCGCCCUCUUUGCUAUAGUUAUUUGGUUCACAAUAAAUGGCUAGUUGGAAACCUUCCUUGUGAGGCUGUAAUUGUAAUUAUGUUUCCAUAGUCACAUCUAACAACUGAUAAUGAGGUGGAUUGGGGGCUUUUAUGAUUUUAAUCAUUAUUUUAUUAUUGGGAUAGCAGUUUUCAAAUUUUAAUAUUCACAUUUCCAUAUUUUAAGGAUUUGUGUUUGUUUCCUGUUGACAUCCAAUGUCAUGGAUUGGUAUAGAUAGAAAUAUGUCACUUAAGCGGGAAAGUGUGUAAUUAUUUUGAGCUGGUGUUUGAUCUGGCGAUUAUGGAAGAUAUGAAGUAAGGUACUGUUGAAUGGUAGUCUUUCUUUCUCUUUUUGUUAUUUAUUUUAUUUUAAUAAGUCUGUUAAUGGUAGUCUUACUGUUACCGACCCUGAAGAGUUGUUUGUGUGCAUGGUAAAGACGCUAUAAGGCAGUAUAACAUUUAGAAUCCAGUUCAAGGGGUUUCUGCUAAGUGAGUUGAGCUGGAGCUGUCUGAGUUUGAGGAUUGCUUAUGUUAACGUGCAAUGCCGCAUGGUGUGAGCAAUCAAAGGCAAUAGCGAUCGGGUGGGUGGGUGUGAGGAGAUGAUAUUUGAGCUUUACUAUUGUCAGGCUGUGUGCUAUACUGUAUAAGUUUCAUGGCAGAGGCUGUGAUAGUUUGGAGAGGGCUGGCUGAAGAUUGAGGUCAGAGUCCAUUGUAACGUUCUCAUAGAGUCUGCGUAUGGAUGCAGCAUCCUCAACGAAAUUGCUUGUAGGCGUAAUAAAGUUGCUCAUGAUGUAGCAUCUUGAAAUGGUAAAAAUAUUGUAAGCUCCUGGGUGGGUUGUAAAUCCUCCUUACUGGCUGGUUAAUGCCUUGAUUGAAGCUUGAAAUUGUAUCAAAGACUUCAUAUAUUUCCGUAUUUAAUGAACUCCUAUCGGUUUGCCAUUAGAAAAAGGCAAGAGUAUUUUAUAAGAGCUCGAGUAGAUCAACUUU
This is an RNA transcript of Prunus dulcis (almond), 3213 nucleotides long. RefSeq lists it as uncharacterized. The transcript has 4 exons. The record is from RefSeq and is a predicted model, not a curated record. Lineage: Eukaryota; Viridiplantae; Streptophyta; Magnoliopsida; Rosales; Rosaceae.